Molecule: transfer RNA, 74 nt
Filed under: Apaloderma vittatum (bar-tailed trogon)
Lineage: Eukaryota; Metazoa; Chordata; Aves; Trogoniformes; Trogonidae
Rfam family: tRNA
About the family: Transfer RNA (tRNA) molecules are approximately 80 nucleotides in length. Their secondary structure includes four short double-helical elements and three loops (D, anti-codon, and T loops). Further hydrogen bonds mediate the characteristic L-shaped molecular structure. tRNAs have two regions of fundamental functional importance: the anti-codon, which is responsible for specific mRNA codon recognition, and the 3' end, to which the tRNAs corresponding amino acid is attached (by aminoacyl-tRNA synthetases). tRNAs cope with the degeneracy of the genetic code in two manners: having more than one tRNA (with a specific anti-codon) for a particular amino acid; and 'wobble' base-pairing, i.e. permitting non-standard base-pairing at the 3rd anti-codon position.
Source: Rfam by way of RNAcentral
GGCCAGUGAGCUCAGCUGGUUAGAGCGUGGUGCUGAUAACACCAAGGUCGCGGGUUCAAUCCCUGUUCGGUCUC